This 72-nucleotide transfer RNA is filed under the name Phrynosoma platyrhinos (Desert horned lizard). Its description in RNAcentral is "tRNA-OTHER". Lineage: Eukaryota; Metazoa; Chordata; Lepidosauria; Squamata; Phrynosomatidae. The record is from RNAcentral.
GCCAGAAUGGUGUAGUGGUUUGAACGUUGGACUAGGACUCUGGAGACCAGGGUUCGAAUCCUGGCUCAGCCA